Molecule: ribosomal RNA, 1518 nt
Filed under: Triticum aestivum (bread wheat)
Lineage: Eukaryota; Viridiplantae; Streptophyta; Magnoliopsida; Poales; Poaceae
Description: partial small subunit ribosomal RNA
Source: RNAcentral
AUGGUCCGUGCUUCCUCGAUGGACCAGAUGGACGGCGGUGGCGCCGGCAGGCGGGUGAAGGUGGUGGGGAAGGUAGAGAGGCUCGACGGGCAGUCGCUGACCUACUCCGAGUUCGUCGACCGCUUCAUGAAGCCGAACCUCCCCGUCGUCCUCACGGGCCUCACCUCCUCCUGGCCAUCCUGCGAGGACUGGACGUUUGCCGGCCCCGACGACCGCCGCCGCCCCAACCUCCCCUUUUUCGCGCAAAACUUCUCCUCUCCUCGCGUUCAGGUUGCCGACUGUUCCGCCAGGGAGUACACGGACCACAAGCGCCUAGAGAUGUCCAUGCAGGAAAUCGUGGACCAUUGGGUUAGGAAUUCGAAUACUGUUUCAAGCAGCGGUCAUUGUGAAGCUUCCUCGCUUUACCUGAAGGAUUGGCAUUUUGUUAAAGAGUACCCUGAUUAUGUCGCAUACACCACACCACCGUUCUUCGUCGAUGAUUGGCUCAACAUGUAUCUUGACAGUCAUCCCAUGCAUAGAGAUUCUGACAUUGCCAACCACAAAAAUGAAGUAAACUGUGCUGACUAUCGAUUUGUUUACAUUGGAGCAAAAGGAACUUGGACCCCUCUUCAUGCUGAUGUUUUUAGGUCAUACAGCUGGUCAGCAAAUGUGUGUGGGAGAAAACUAUGGCUCUUUCUGGCACCAUCGCAGAGUCAUCUUAUAUUUGAUAGGAACCUACGAUCAUCGGUUUAUGACAUAAAUGAAGAUGUUUCUGAAAAGCAGUUUCCUGAAUUCAAUAAGGCUGAAUGGAUAGAGUGUAUUCAAGAGCAGAAUGAAAUAAUUUUUGUGCCCAGUGGGUGGUAUCACCAAGUCUAUAAUCUGGAGGAUACUAUAUCUAUCAACCAUAAUUGGUUCAAUGCCUACAACCUUCAUUGGGUGUGGAACUUGCUUCAUGAAGACCACAAAGUUGCAAAAGAGUAUAUUGAAGACAUCCGCGAUAUAUGUGAUAAUUUUGAGGCGCUUUGUCAACGCAACUUGGCAGCAAAUACAGGCAUGAACUUCUAUGAUUUCUUCAUUUUUAUCACACGGUUUGUUUUGGCCAAUGUAAUUGAGCUUUACCAUGUCCAAGAGCCCGAGGAUGCUAAAGUCAAUUCACCAGAAGCCACUCACCAUUAUGUGUAUAACCUUAUGCAAAUUCGGGAAGUUGCAUCUAAAAUGAUUUCUGCAGAGGCUUUUAGUAUUGAGAAUCUUUGUGUUAUCUCUGAAGGAAAUCGGAGUGCUAUGUCAGAUGUUACAAAAAUAUUAAAAGACGAUGGCUUCAGAAGGCUAUGGAUGACAUUGUCCGAGGCGUAUGAAUGCAUUCGCAGGGGGCAAAGAAUUUUGUACAAAGUGAGGUAUUUAAAUCAGAAAGGCUGUUUGUCGGUGACCUGUUCGAAAUCUGAUUGUAAUGUUGUUGAUCGCAUUACUUAUUUUAUGCGUGAAAUUCGUGGACCUGAGGAUCUGGUGAGGUUAAUUGAUACUGCUCUACCCGAGAGAUGA